This 28-nucleotide small RNA is filed under the name Bombyx mori (domestic silkworm). RNAcentral's name for it is "ovarian small RNA-34385". The record is from RNAcentral. Lineage: Eukaryota; Metazoa; Arthropoda; Insecta; Lepidoptera; Bombycidae.
UGGAAAGGUGGGACCCUACUAGGUUGUG